Molecule: transfer RNA, 88 nt
Filed under: Caudoviricetes sp.
Lineage: Duplodnaviria; Heunggongvirae; Uroviricota; Caudoviricetes
Description: tRNA-Ser
Rfam family: tRNA
About the family: Transfer RNA (tRNA) molecules are approximately 80 nucleotides in length. Their secondary structure includes four short double-helical elements and three loops (D, anti-codon, and T loops).
Source: RNAcentral
GUAGCAUUGGCAGAGUUGGUAUUGCACAAGAUUGCUAAUCUUAGGUCAUCGUUUAUUCGGUGCAUUGGUUCGAGUCCAAUAUGCUACG